GGGGUAAACCUGAGAAACCCAAAAGAUCGAAUGGGGAGAUUCAUCGUCAGCUCAUUUUGUAUUUUUAUGAAUUAUGAUGUGGGUUACUACUUGUAGUAUUGCCUAUACAUANUUAUAAAAUUAGUUGCAAGAUGUUGUCGUCGUGCACUUCUCCCCUANUAGAACGUCNCGACCCGUUGUGUGUCGGUCUACGGCCUAAGUGGUANUCUUUAAUAUUUUAUUAUAUUAAAGUCCCUUGGUGUUUCCUGACCGGCUAC
RNAcentral lists this ribosomal RNA (257 nucleotides) under cf. Triraphis sp. 40 DLJQ-2021a. RNAcentral's name for it is "partial 28S ribosomal RNA". The record is from RNAcentral. Lineage: Eukaryota; Metazoa; Arthropoda; Insecta; Hymenoptera; Braconidae.